UAAAGUUUUGGUCCUAAACUUGCUGCUAUUUAUAAUCAAAAUUACACAUGCAAGUAUCCGCAUCCCAGUGAAAAUGCCCCAUUUAGCAACACGGAGCAGGUAUCAGGCACAAAUCAUUUAGCCCAAAACACCUUGCCUCGCCACACCCCCACGGGUAAUCAGCAGUGAUAGAUAUUAAGCAAUAAGCAAACCCAACCGUAGCUUGACUUAGUUAAGAUUAUCAAGAGCCGGUCAACCUCGUGCCAGCCACCGCGGUUAUACGAGGGGCCCAAAAUAGCAGAUAUCGGCGUAAAUAGUGGCUAAGGACAGAACCUUUCAAUUAAAGAAGAAAACCCAAGCCUAAUUGUAAAACACGGGCUAAAUGAAAUCCAACUUCUUUAAAUAUAAGACUCCCGACCCACGAAAACUAAGAAACAAACUAGGAUUAGAUACCCUACUAUGCUUAGUCGUUAAUAUGACACUCUUAUACAAUAGUGUUCGCCAGAGAAUUACGAGCGAAAAGCUUAAAACUCAAAAGACUUGGCGGUGCCCCAUUCCGACUUAGAGGAGCCUGUCCUAUAAUCGAUACUCCACGUUAAACCUCACCAUUUUUUGCCCCCAGCCUAUAUACCGCCGUCGCCAACCAACCCCAUGAGGGCCCAACAGUAAGUAAAAUAGUUUAACAACUAACACGUCAGGUCAAGGUGUAGCUUAUAAAAUGGCAGAGAUGGGCUACAAUUUUUAAAAUAAAAUACCACGGCAAGAGACCCUGAAACAAGUCACAGAAGGCGGAUUUAAUAGUAAGACUGGCAAGAAAGCCUUUCUUAAACUCGCUCUGGGGCGCGCACACACCGCCCGUCACCCUCCUCGACAAUAACCUACAACUACAUAAUUCAAUAAAUAUAACAAGAUGAGGCAAGUCGUAACAUGGUAAGCGUACUGGAAAGUGCG
This 930-nucleotide non-coding RNA is filed under the name Basiliscus vittatus (brown basilisk). RNAcentral describes it as "12S rRNA". It matches the Rfam family "Bacterial small subunit ribosomal RNA". The record is from RNAcentral. Lineage: Eukaryota; Metazoa; Chordata; Lepidosauria; Squamata; Corytophanidae.